GCGCAUUUAGCAUAUCAAUAAGCGGAGGAAAAGAAACCAACAGGGAUUGCCCUAGUAACGGCGAGUGAAGCGGCAACAGCUCAAAUUUGAAAUCUGGCUCUUUCAGAGUCCGAGUUGUAAUUUGCAGAGGGUGCUUUGGCGUUGGCAGCGGUCCAAGUUCUUUGGAACAGGACGUCACAGAGGGUGAGAAUCCCGUACGUGGUCGCUAGCCUUCGCCGUGUAAAGCCCCUUCGACGAGUCGAGUUGUUUGGGAAUGCAGCUCUAAAUGGGAGGUAAAUUUCUUCUAAAGCUAAAUACUGGCCAGAGACCGAUAGCGCACAAGUAGAGUGAUCGAAAGAUGAAAAGCACUUUGGAAAGAGAGUCAAAUAGCACGUGAAAUUGUUGAAAGGGAAGCGCUUGCAGCCAGACUUGCCUGUAGUUGCUUAUCCGGACUUUUGUCCGGUGCACUCUUCUGCGGGCAGGCCAGCAUCAGUUUGGGCGGUUGGAUAAAGGUCUCUGUCAUGUACCUCCUUUCGGGGAGGCCUUAUAGGGGAGACGUCAUGCAACCAGCCUGGACUGAGGUCCGCGCAUCUGCUAGGAUGCUGGCGUAAUGGCUGUAAGCGGCCCGUCUUGAAACACGGACCAAGGAGUCUAACAUCUAUGCGAGUGUUUGGGUGUCAAGCCCAGACGCGUAAUGAAAGUGAACGGAGGUGGGAACCUUUUAGGUGCACCAUCGACCGAUCCUGAUGUCUUCGGAAGGAUUUGAGUAAGAGCAUAGCUGUUGGGACCCGAAAGAUGGUGAACUAUGCUUGAAUAGGGUGAAGCCAGAGGAAACUCUGGUGGAGGCUCGCAGCGGUUCUGACGUGCAAAUCGAUCGUCAAAUUUGGGCAUAGGGGCGAAAGACUAAUCGAACUAUCUAGUAGCUGCGUUCCUGCGCAGUCUCU
This 923-nucleotide ribosomal RNA is filed under the name Parastagonospora macrouniseptata. Its description in RNAcentral is "Parastagonospora sp. IDG-2019b partial large subunit ribosomal RNA". It matches the Rfam family "Eukaryotic large subunit ribosomal RNA", at positions 27 to 971 of the family's 3401-position model. The record is from RNAcentral. Lineage: Eukaryota; Fungi; Ascomycota; Dothideomycetes; Pleosporales; Phaeosphaeriaceae.